GAAACCUGCUUUAUGCCUGAAUCGAUUUUUUCUUCAUCGAUCAAAGUUACUGUUUUUCUCCUCAGUCGAAAACGGCGUCAAAAAUUUCGUCUCUUUCACGUUGAUUAACACUUUUAUCCUCCGUAUCACUUGAAAGCAUUGGAUCGUUUGUUCUGUAUUUGCGGGUAACGAUUUGAUUGGUAAAAUUGUCGGGGGAUGCAUUGUGCGGAGAAGGUGUUUGAUGAAAUUCCGCAUAGAAAACUCCUAAAGGACAAGGUUAUUAAUUUUAUUUCGAUUCUGAGAUUUAAUAUGAUAUGGUGGCUUAUCCAUGACAUGUAAUGCUGAUGAGUAAUAAUCGUAAAGAAAAUUUUCCAACACAAAGGCAAAUCUUUGUAUGUUUACAGAUAUAAGUUAUAACCACACAAAGCCAUAAAACAAAGAAAAAAUUGUUCUUUUUUUUUGUUUUCUCCCACACGAAGCAAAACCAACAAAUUAAAUAACAGUACCUGAAAACUUUAAACUUGAACACUUUAUCACUUGACUUUGAUUUCUUCCUUAGCUUCUUCAGUUGUGAUAGUCUUAGAGCUUGGAGAUUUUCCAAUGAUUGCUUUCUUUGCCUUAACAAGAGAUUGUUUCACCUUUGAUAUUAUGCUGUUUGAAUGUUUUUGCUUAGCAGGAACUUCUUUGGUUGUGACUUCUGCUUCUUGUUUUGGCUCAUCGAUCUCUUUAACAACAGGUGCUGUUUCCACAACCUCUGCUACUUUUUCUGUAAUUG
This 754-nucleotide long non-coding RNA is filed under the name Arabidopsis lyrata. RNAcentral's name for it is "long non-coding RNA (ALYR_LNC002243)". Lineage: Eukaryota; Viridiplantae; Streptophyta; Magnoliopsida; Brassicales; Brassicaceae. The record is from RNAcentral.